UAACUCUGUGGUCUUGUUUUUAUAAAAUAUAGGAUACAUAUCUCUAACUUCUAAAAAAGUGCAUUUGUUGAGUAUUUGAAUUGUCUUCGCUACUAGUUGUUUGUAAUACGUGUUCAAAUGAGUCUAUUGUAGCGUUACUUUCGUGUUAAGGUGUACUUUUGAAGUUUUUGCUGACAGCAACAGUUGCAGUGUCGUUAGCUUGUCAGAGGGUUGGCGAGUUAGCAUUAGCCUCCUGGAGGAUGGUGAUGGAUGAAUGGAGGAUGGAUGGAUGGACGAUGGUGAUGACAUGCGUGCGGGCUCUCUGGUGGCUGCAGAUCCUCGGCCAGGCGGAGGACUGUCGGACCUCCAGGAUGAAAGUCUGCGCCCUCCACUUCUUCUCGGAGUGCUUCACCAACUGCACCCAGCCCACAUGGGCUUUGCUGUUUGGCUUCACCUGACCGACGAUCCCGCUUCAGACUCCACCAGAGGGUCGGCAGAUAACUGUUCACCUUGAGGUCCAGGACAUGUGACACAUGUCACUAAUGUGACACAUUUACUUCAGGUAGAUACGACCCAUGCUCGUAUCCUGAUGAUGACUCAAACAACUAUGAUAUUGAGGCUGAGAGCGCCACAGCUGCUGGCAGCCCAGAGUCAUAUCAAGAGCCUCUGGAGUCUGAGCCGGAGCAGGCGUCCAUGGAGUCGGAGUCACAAGAGCAGUCUGUGGAAUCAGAGACCGUGACAAUAAAGGCAGAGCAAGAAGAGUAUGAGGAAGCUCUGCGCUAAAUCGUGGCACCAGAAGGCUCAUCUGUGCAGCCUGACAGACAUUCAGGAGCCUUGGCUGUUCAUGACUGUGCCAUCGGAUGGAUGAUGAGCGCUCAUGUGAAAGAUGGCUUUCCCCUGUAACCCAAACAGCAGGCAUUCACAGCGAUGAAGUGUUCUUCUAACCAGAGCACGUAGAAAAAUCCAACGAGCCAGAAUGCAUCACGACAAGUCAUGUGAGGACACCUGGCCACAGGAGCCAUUUCGCUCAGACUUGCAGAGUAAGCCUUACCGCUCCAGAGUUCCUUUGGGACUGGACCGAGACCACCUCCUGUCAAGGGUCCAUUUUGACUGAACCAAACAGGUCAGGUGUGAAAGCAUUCCUAAAAGAAGUUAUGAGUUUAUGUCUUUCUGUUCACAGCCCUUUAUCAUCUGGACAAGGUGACUAAAUAUGAUUUGGCUGAUAAGACAACGGAGGCUGUUUGCCAGACAUGUUAAUGUACAAUCAGGGCUUUCCUGUUCCUGUCAGACGUUAGCUCACACACUGAUGUAUUUAUCAGUGUAAUUUUGGUGUCUUUAUUAUAUAAUUAAAUAAGACAUGAAUUUAUCUGUUUACUUUUAGUGAACCAAUACUUGCACUAUUACUUGAAUUGAGUGUUUUGUUUUUCAAGGCAGACAGUGCUUUUGAAAACAGGGAAAGAAUCAUUUUGAUGAAUAAAGCCAUGUUUUUGACCAUUUUUGUUUCACUUUUAAAAUUUAAGGGUCCCACUUCAACAACAAACAAUAAAAGCCUACACACAGGAGAAAAGCAGCAUGAAACAAGAGCUAAUAAAACAAAUGUGGUGUCUGUCCACGCGGUAACAGAAAGACGGCCUGUUUCCAGUCCAGGUCCAUCCACAACCGGCCUCUGAUUUGGCCUCAGUCCAAGUGAAAGUCUCCAGUGCAAGUGUCCAUCCUGAGGGUUUCCAGCCCAGCCCUCUUCACCCUGUUCACUCACGACCGUGCUGCCAUCCACCCCACCA
Molecule: long non-coding RNA, 1760 nt
Organism: Chelmon rostratus (copperband butterflyfish)
Lineage: Eukaryota; Metazoa; Chordata; Actinopteri; Chaetodontiformes; Chaetodontidae
Exons: 6
Source: RefSeq, a predicted model, not a curated record